RNAcentral lists this long non-coding RNA (2614 nucleotides) under Gallus gallus (chicken). RNAcentral describes it as "lncRNA (ENSGALG00010006554.1)". Lineage: Eukaryota; Metazoa; Chordata; Aves; Galliformes; Phasianidae. The record is from RNAcentral.
AAUGUAGUAAUGAGCACAUUUUCAUGGUUCAAAGAGCCCACUCCAUUUUACUGCCAGGAAAAAUGAAAAUGAUAAAGCGGAGAUUUUGACCAGUUUUUUGAUCAAGUUUUUCCUCUCAAUUUCAUAUUUCCUUAUUAUAGUUUAGUAGUUAAAUGUGGGACCAGUGCAGAGAGACAUCUUGGACUCAUAUCUUGAAGUUUUAUUUGGACAGUCAGGAGAGAGGGGGACUUAUAACCAAAAAACUAAAAAGAAGAAGAAAGUCAAAGGCAUGAUGUGCUGCAGGGAGCAGUCUUUCUCUGGCAGAAGAUGAGCUAAAUAGCCUAAUAGUUUUUUUUUCCAUCUGUAUUUCCUAUCGUCCUACUGCGAGCAGAAAGAAUUCGGAUCCAGCUGAUCUCUCGGGUGGGGGGUGGAGGAGGCUGCCUGCUCCACUGCCUAGCAUAGGCAGCAGAGAAAGCUGAGGAGAACAACACCCCUGCUGCAUUACCCCUGCUCUGCAGGAUCCCACCAAGCAUUUUCGCUGGCUCUUUGCAGUGCUGGAUCACCACCAGGCUGCAAGAAAGAAGGAUCAGCCACUGUCUAGAGCACUGCCCCGUGCUAACCCGCUGGAUUUCCAUGCUGAAAUCCAAGGGAGAGUUUAAGCAGCCUAAGUGUUGGCUGGGCUCUCUCUAGCUGCUACUGCGCAGCUGUGCGCUGGCUCGGCUUGUGCCAGGUGAGCUGCGGGUGGGUCCCGCUGCUUGGGGCAGCCUCAUGGGUAGAGCUCUGCAAGACCAGGGCUGGUGGGUGCUCCACUUGCAGGGGAUGCGCUUCUCCAGCUCUGCUGGCUGCUUGGUGCCCCGUGAGGAGAACUUGGAAAUGCUGUGCCCUUCAGCUCACAAAGUUUCCUGGCUCUUGCAGUCUGAUUUUCCAGGAAAGGGUACAAUCUAAACCCUCCAAUGAUUUGGUUAGCUGUUUUUCUUAAAAUUAAGGGAUUCAAAAUAAUGCCAAAUUGCUACCCAUGCCCUGGAGGACUAGGAGGCAAGCCAAAAAUGUGUUGUCACAAUGCACAUUACCUGAAAUUUUCACUAAAUUAAAAAGGGCUGUGAAGAAGUGACUCCCAAACUAUUUUAAAAAGACAUUUGUUACACAAUGUGCAUGUUUCUGCCACUUCAUACAGCAUACGUUAGGUUUUCCUGCCUCCUGUGAGCACUGACAGGACACAGCACGAAGACAAAGCUAGUUGCUGAAGAACUACUUCUGAAACACCCAUGAGACGUGAAGAACAACCGGUGAUCUCCUACAGGGAACAAUCUGCCACCAGAAGAGCUGUGCAUUUAAGUGAUUGUUUUGGCUCUGUUGCCAACUCAUGCCCUCAUUCUAAGGCGCACACAAAAACCAUAAAAUAAAAAAAUUAAAACAAAAAUUGUUUCUUGGGAAAGGAAAUCCUAAGAACAUCGAAUGUGUUCAAAAGACAUUCAUUUGGGUACUUGCAGAUGAAGGAAAUAAAUGCCAGAUUCACAGAAGCUGAGGUGGAACAUGCAUCGGGACUGGAGAACUAGUUCAGUUUCCAUCUCUCGGAAGAAAUGUGUGCACGUGCCACACAGGACAACAUUCUUAGUAAUCCCCUGUAAGGUGGCCGUGUCUGCUCAUGGUUUGGAGCGUUGCUCCUUGGUCUCUUCCAAUGAGACAUCCACUUUGUGUGCAGCAUUUUAUGUUCACACAGUCUAGGAACCAAACAACCACUUCCCUGCUGCGUGGGUCGUUUUCACAUUCAGCUCUAGCAAACAUUAAAAGCAGUUUGUUCCAAGAAGAUUAACUUCAAAUGGACUGCCUAAGGUAACCCAGAAGAGUUUAAAGUGACCUAGCAGCCACUUGUAGGAUAGUCAUCUGCAAGAUGGAAGAGCUAGGUUAAAACCUGCCUUUAAAAGAAGCACCACAGCUUUGAAUGGGCAUUCAGUACUUCCCAGUAAAGCCCCUAAGUGCCUCUGUGUCUCAGGUGGGUACUUCCAAGCCCUUCUCCUGCAGCUGUUCCUAAUCAGUGCUAAAAGCAAGAGUAGAAAGGAUCCCCAAGGGACCAGAGUGCUCACCUGGGAAGUGAGGGGGCACAGAUCUAAGCCCAGGGCUUAAUUAUGAUGCAGUUUUAGCUUAAGGUUUCAGUCACUGGAGUGACUGUGGUGUAUAAAUUGCAUGUGGAGAAUCUGGAUAAAAUAUAGUGGUAGUUAGGACUGUUGCUAUAUCUUUCUAAUUCCUACUGUUUCUUACUGCAGGAUUCUAUUUGAACUGAGCAAAGCUGGCUAGUGUUUGAGUGCUCUUCAGAUAAGCUCUGGGAAAUCAGGCAAGAAUAGUGUUUCAGGUUAUUGAGAAAGAUGAAGAAAUUGCUUGAUGUCACUGCACUGAUGAUGGGAAGACCCUUAUUUCUCCUUUCUUCUCUUCCUCAUAUGUGGAACUAGAGAGGUAAGCCUGCAAUAGAAAUUUUCUAUACCAAGUUAUGUUUUCAUCAAUACUCACUUCUCUCUGGAUUAGAGAGAUAGUAAAUACUUAGAUCUGAAUACUCCAUUUUGUUUCAUUUCCAAGUUGUGGGGUAUUUUUUUUGUUUUGUUUUUAGAUUCUUUUCAUUUUGGUGCUCUUUAUCUUAACA